RNAcentral lists this microRNA precursor (94 nucleotides) under Python bivittatus (Burmese python). Its description in RNAcentral is "microRNA pbv-mir-130a precursor". Its record names the gene pbv-mir-130a. The stretch from base 9 to 87 matches the Rfam family "mir-130 microRNA precursor family". From Rfam's summary of the family: The hairpin precursors (represented here) are predicted based on base pairing and cross-species conservation -- their extents are not known. In this case the mature sequence is excised from the 3' arm of the hairpin. The record is from miRBase by way of RNAcentral. Lineage: Eukaryota; Metazoa; Chordata; Lepidosauria; Squamata; Pythonidae.
GGCACGGCCCCUGCCCGAGGCUCUUUUCACAUUGUGCUACUGAGCCCAACCCAAGCAGUGCAAUGUAAAAAGGGCAUUGGGUUGGUGGCCACAG